RNAcentral lists this unclassified non-coding RNA (206 nucleotides) under Hevea brasiliensis (rubber tree). Lineage: Eukaryota; Viridiplantae; Streptophyta; Magnoliopsida; Malpighiales; Euphorbiaceae. The record is from RNAcentral.
GAAUGAUGAAGAUUGGUCCAUGAAGGAAGUAACAUCGAGUUUGACAAAUAGGAGAUAUACAGAGAAGUGUAUAGCAUAUGCUGAGAGCCAUGAUCAGUCUAUUGUCGGUGACAAGACCAUUGCAUUUCUCCUAAUGGACAAAGAGAUGUAUUCUGGCAUGUCUUGCUUGACAGAUGCUUCUCCUGUUGUUGAUCGAGGAAUUGCGC